UACGUAGGUGGCAAGCGUUAUUCGGAAUUACUAGGCGUAAAGGACAGGUAGGUGGUUGGGUAAGUUGAAAGUGAAAUCCCCAGAAAAAUCUGGGAGCGUCUUUCAAAACUACCCGGCUUGAGUGUAGGAGGGGGUAUCGGAAUUCCUGGUGUAGCGGUGAAAUGCGUAGAUAUCAGGAGGAACACCGAUGGCGAAAGCGGAUACCUAUUCUACUACUGACACUGAUCUGUGAAGGCGCGGGGAGC
RNAcentral lists this ribosomal RNA (245 nucleotides) under uncultured bacterium. RNAcentral describes it as "partial 16S ribosomal RNA". It matches the Rfam family "Bacterial small subunit ribosomal RNA", at positions 524 to 769 of the family's 1533-position model. The record is from RNAcentral.